GACGAACGCUGGCGGCGUGCUUAACACAUGCAAGUCGAACGGUGAAGGGAUCAGCUUGCUGGUUCUGGAUGAGUGGCGAACGGGUGAGUAACACGUGAGUAACCUGCCCCCUUCUUCUGGAUAACCGCAUGAAAGUGUGGCUAAUACGGGAUAUUCUGGGUCUGUCGCAUGAUGGGUCUGGGAAAGAUAUUGUUUCGGUGGGGGAUGGGCUCGCGGCCUAUCAGCUUGUUGGUGGGGUGAUGGCCUACCAAGGCGGUGACGGGUAGCCGGCCUGAGGGGGUGGGCGGUCACGCUGGGACGGAGACACUGCGCAGACUCCUACGGGAGGCAGCAGUGGGGAAGAUUGCACGGUGAGCGUAAGCCUGAUGCAGCGAGGCCGCGUGAGGGAUGGAGGCCUUCGGGUUGUAAACCUCUGUCGCUAGUGAGGUAGGGCUGCUCCUUGUGGGUGGGUUGACGGUAGCUGGAUAAGAAGCGCCGGCUAACUACGUG
This 489-nucleotide ribosomal RNA is filed under the name uncultured bacterium. Its description in RNAcentral is "partial 16S ribosomal RNA". It matches the Rfam family "Bacterial small subunit ribosomal RNA", at positions 28 to 507 of the family's 1533-position model. The record is from RNAcentral.